UCUUCCGCUACAAUUGAGCAAACAUCGGGAGAGAUUGAGAAGUAAAAUUCCAUGGCGCUGUAUCUGUUGUAUGAGUCGGCGUCUGGGUACGGUUUGUUUUUGGCUCACGGGAUUGAUGAGAUAGGGCAGAACACGGAGGCGGUCCGGAACUCAAUCGAUGACCUCAAUCGCUUUGGGAAAGUUGUAAAGAUUGAAGCUUUUAACCCUUUUGAGUCCGCUCUUGAUGCCCUAAAUCAAUGCAAUGCUGUUUCUGAAGGUCAAAUGACUGAGGAGCUACAGAACUUUUUGGAGCGUAGUCUCCCAAAAGUCAAGGAGGGUAAGAAAGCUAAGUUCAGCUUAGGAUUGGCAGAGCCUAAGCUUGGGUCACAUAUCCAUGAAGUUACUAAGAUUCCUUGCCAAAGUAACGAGUUUGUUCUUGAGAUUUUGCGUGGAGUACGAUUGCAUUUUGAGAAAUUUGUUAAAAACCUUAAGCCUGGUGAUUCGGAGAAAGCCCAACUUGGUCUGAGUCAUAGUUACAGCAGAGCAAAGGUCAAGUUCAAUGUCAACCGUGUUGACAAUAUGGUCACUCAGGCAAUAGUCCUACUUGACACUCUUGAUAAAGAUAUAAAUACCUUUGCCAUGAGAGUCAGAGAGUGGUACUCUUGGCAUUUCCCCGAGUUGGUCAAGAUUGUCAAUGACAACUAUCUAUAUGCCAAGGUUGCAAAAUUUGUUGAUGACAAAUCUCAAUUGUCUGAAGACAAAAUUUCAGCAUUAACUGAAAUAGUCGGAGAUGAAGAUAAAGCAAAAGAAAUCGUAGAAGCUGCAAAAGCUUCCAUGGGCCAGGAUUUGUCACCAGUUGACUUGAUUAAUGUCAAGCUAUUUGCACAGAGGGUAAUGGACCUUGUUGAAUACAGGAAAAAUCUUUAUGAUUAUCUUGUCGCCAAAAUGCACGACAUAGCACCAAAUUUGGCUGCUCUGAUUGGUGAAGUUGUGGGUGCUCGUUUAAUUUCUCAUGCUGGUAGUCUCACAAAUUUGGCGAAGUGCCCUUCUUCUACCCUUCAG
RNAcentral lists this unclassified non-coding RNA (1041 nucleotides) under Hevea brasiliensis (rubber tree). Lineage: Eukaryota; Viridiplantae; Streptophyta; Magnoliopsida; Malpighiales; Euphorbiaceae. The record is from RNAcentral.